UUUUUUUUUUUUUUUUUUUUUUUUUGGGUCUUUUCUAGGCCGCACCCAUAGCACAUGGAGGUUCCCAGGCUAGGUAGGGGUCUAAUCGGAGCUGUAGCUGACAGCCUACACCACAGCCACAGCAACACCAGAUCCGAGCCAUGUCUGCGACACACACCACCGCUCACGGCAACACUGGAUCUUUAACCCGCUGAAGGAGGCCAGGGAUCAAGUCCAUAACCUCAUGUUUCCUAGUCAGAUUUGUCAACCACUGAGCCACAACAGGAACUCCAGAGCAACUGCUUCUUAAAUAGCAGUCAUGGAGAAAUCCUAACCUUAACUGAGACUCAAAGUGACCGUGUUAUGUUAUUUUGUAUCAUUCCCACAGAUGCUUAUAACUCAACUAUCCUCUUAACGAUUUGGGUAAGUUUUUCUUAAAUGGACUAUUUUGUACUCUGAGGUUAGGAUGUCCUAUCUAAAUUUUAAUUUCUUUUCAAAAGAAACUCUUACUUAAGCAAAUAUAGUCAUGCUGGCUAGUGAUUAAAUUGCCCUUGUUAAAAUGAGCUUCUAGCACCCUGAAACUCAGCUCACACAAUAUGCAAAGCUAUACUCAAAAACUUCAUGCCCAGCUCUCAGAGUUUGGAGGGAUAAUGAGGACACAUCUGCUUUCCUACUUUAGGGUUUAUCUGACAUAUGCAGUAGUCUGAUCAAAACUGGUCUCAAAAAAAGAAAAAAAAGAUCCCGUCUAAGUUUACUACUGUGAAGUUGUCAAGGGUCAAAAGGUAUAGUUUCACCACUGGUAAUGAUUCCUUUCUCUACCAAAUAGUGCCUAUCCCAAAUUUUAUUAAAAGAGAAAGUAAACAUUGAGGGGUGAACAAUAAAUAUAUACCUGGCCUUCUGAACUAGUGAGAACAUAGCCUGUGGCCUUGGCAACUGUAUUGCUUACUGCCCAGGUUUUCUUACCUGCACCUUAAUGAGAAAUCAUCAUUACUGUGUAUUUCAAUCCUGAUGCUCAUCUCAGCAUCUGUCAUCUGUUUUCUCAAAGUUAAACUUCCCAGAGCCACCAGUAUAGCCUUGACAUUGCACACAAAUAAUCUGCCCUCAAUAAAGCCAUCCACUCAACACUGAAGUCAAGUUAUCUCAGCCCUGCAUAAACCUACAGAAGGGCUAACGUAAAAUAGAAGGCAUGCUGGAAUUUGCAUACCCCUUUGUUUUCUGCAAAUUGUUCCCUGUUUAAUGAAGUUGGUGUUUAAGAGCUAAUUACAUUUAUCAAAUGAAUUCAAUUCAUCCAUUUUGGACUAAUCAUAUAUUCCCUAGCUGUUCAUUUUUUCCUUCCUAACACUGAAAGAAAAAUGAAGCAAGAUAUAUGUAAAUUGACUUUAGUUAACAACUUCAUAGUUUAAAUUUUUCUGACCUAGAAAUCAACUUCUACAAAGAAUUUACUAUUUUGCUGCCCAGACAUUUUAUUAACUGAAACAUAUAUGUUUCAAAAUGUAAUGGAAUUAAAAAGUGUCAAGGGUAGGUGGGUACUAAGAUUUACUGUGCCACAGCUUCAGGAACACUGGAUCCUUAACUCACUGUGCUAUAAUGGAACUUCCUGAUUUAUCCUUUGAGAGAAAAAUGGUCAAACAAAAGGAUUGGUGAGGCUGAGGAUUAGAAAGACAUGUCAAUAAAAGUCUAUCCUUAAAACAAGAGAAGACUGAUGUCUGGAAAACCAAAAUAAGACAAAACUGAGAAAUGUGACUCUCAAAAUGAGAAUUAAUGACAAAAAGUAGUUAAUAUCCCAUACAUUUUAAAUUAGUUCAGAUAAUAGGUUUAAGAUUCCCCAACAGUUAAUAAUCCAGUACAAUUUUGGGAAACAGUGAGAUCUAUAGGUGUUUAUUCAAAUUAAAACAAGAUCAUUUCUUCAUUCUUAUUUCAACAGCCUUCCUCUACACAUGAAUAUUUCUAAUGAAUUAAAAACAUUAUUUAUACUUGCAAAAUUGAUUUACAACAUUUUGAUCAAUACAUUUAAGAUACUGAGCAAACCAUGCCUUCUCAAAGCAAGAAUUUUGUGCCUUGUGUUUUCUCACAUUGCUCUCCAUGUUUGACCAAAGAUGUGGAUUUGAUAAGAAAAGGGGAGCAGGAAUGGUUUCAAUGGAGGAAAAAUAUGAGCAUCACCACUUCUCUCUACAAAGGUUUCUCAGUCUGAGUUCCUAAUCAGAACUCGCUGUGAAAUUUAUAAAACAUGCAAAUGUCCUAGGACUCUAAUGGCAAGAACUCUGCGUCUUUAAACUGUUCCAUGCAUAAUUCUGAUGUACAUCUUUCACUGAACAUACCACUGACUCAAGCCGAAUGACAGCCCCAAAAAGGCAGGGAUUUUUGUUUACUUUGUUUACCGUUCUCUAUUUAGCUUCCAGAGCAAUGCUUAGUAGGGAGUAGGUGCUCAAUAAGUAUUUAUUGAGUUCUUUGAUAGUAAAAAUCCAUCUGAAUGUAGGGGAAUUCAAAUAAUUUAUAUUUUUUAUGAUACAAUAAUUAAUUUUUUUUAAUUUCAAUUAUUCACCUAAAUUAGCCAAAUAUCUUCUAAUGGAUUGAUAUAUUUAAAGUACUAAGUGCUAAUCUUUAGUAAGAUUUUUAAGUCCUGGAGGGCAAACAGACCAAAACCUCUCUUGAUUUAAUUUUUUUCCACCUUUCAUAACCUGUACCCUGAUCAGGGAUAGAAAAAAUACUGAGGAAAAAGGAAGAAAGGAAGAAAGGAAGGAAGGAAGGAAGGAAGGAAGGAAGGAAGAAAGAAAGAAAGAAAGAAAGAAAGAAAGAAAGAAAGAAAGAAAGAAAAGAAAGGAAGAGAAUUGAUAUUUACUAAUGAGAUGGAUGAAUCUUCAAAAGAGCAUUCAAACCCUGCUAUGAGAAACAGUAUUCAUACAAGCCUCCUACCUGUCUGUCUAUAUUUUGCUUUUGACAUCAAGUAUGUUUUCUUUUAACAAAUUAAGUAGAGAUGAAAUGGAAAUAACAAUCAUUUUGGCACAGCAAAGGAAACCAUUUAAAAAAUGAAAAGACAAGGUAUGGAAAGGUAGAAAAUAGCUGCAAACAGUGCAACCUACAAGGGUUAAGCUCCAAAAUAUACAAACAACUCUACGACUCAACAGCAACAAACAAACAAAAACACCUCAAUUAAAAAAUGGGCAAAAAACCUAAAUAGACAUUUCUCAAAGAAGACAUAUGGGUGGCCAACAGGCACAUGAAAAAAUGCUCAACAUCGCUAAUCAUUAGAGAAAUGCAAAUCAAAACUACAGUGCGGUAUCACCUCACACUAGUCAGAAUGGCCAUCAUUAAUUAAAGUCUAAAAAUAACAAAUGCUGGAGAGGAUUAUGCUAUUGGUGGGAAUGUAAAUUGGUACAACUGCCAUGGAAAACUGUGGAGCUUCCUCGGAAAACUCAAUAUAGAACUAUCAUGUGAUCUAGCAAUCCCACUCUUUGGCAUAUAUCUGGACAAAAUUUUCAUUCAAAAAGGUACAUACAUAUAUGAUAUACAUACUGUGUUCACUGCAGCACUAGUCACAAUAGCCAAGAUAUGGAAGCAACUUAAAUAUCCAUUGACAGAUAAAUGGAUUAAUAUGUGGUAGAGGAGUCUCCAUCAUUGCUCAGUGGUUAAUGAACCCAAACCCGACUAGUAUCCAUGAAGAUGUGGGUUCAAUCCCUGGCCUUGCUCAGUGGGUUAAGGAUCUAGUGUUGCCAUGAGCUGUUGUGUAGGUCACAGACGAGACUCAGAUCCCACGUUACUGUGGCUGUGGCGUUGUCCAGCAGCUACAGCUCCGAUUCAACCCCUAGCCUCCUGGGAACUUCUCUAUGCUGCGGGUGUGGCCCUAAAAAGACAAAAAGACAAAAAAAAAAAGAAAAGAAAAAUAUGUAGUAGACAUAUACAAUGAAAUAUUACUCAGCCAUAAAAAAGAACAAAAUAAUGCCCUUUUCAGCAAUGUGGAUGCAACUAGAGAGUCUCAUACUAAGUGAAGUCAGAAAGAGAAAGAUAUAUACCAUAAGGUAUCACUUAUAUGUGGAAUCUAAAAUAUGUCACAGAUGAACCUAUCUAUCACUUGUAAUAGAACAUGAUAGAAUAUGAGAAAAAGAAUGUAUAUAUAUAUCUAUGACUGAGUCACUUUGCUGUACAGCAGAAAUUGAUAGAACAUUGUAAAUCAACUAUAAUUUACAAAAUUAUAAAAAACCCCUAAUCACUUUAGAUAAGAGCUGUUGUUCUUAGCCAAGUUAUUUAAACCUCUGAGCCUCAAUUUUGUCACUUGGAAAAUUACAUCUAUACCACAGUGUUUUAAAAAUUAAAUGAAAAUUCAUGUGAAAGUUGCCUGGCACAGAAUAGACAUUCAACACAUGUAUUUUCCUGUAAUCAACAGGAAGAGAUUCCUGUCUGACUAUGGAGAAUUUCUUUAAGCAAGCUUUAUGUGAUGCAUAUGCCUAGCUCCUACAGCUUAUGUUUGGGCCAGAAGUUCCAUUGUUUUUCCAAAAUGAAAUGCUGCAAUUUAAUCAGAAUUACAUGGCUAAUGGCAUUCUGGGACAGAAAACACGGGGAGGGCACUUCAUGAACUACCAUCUUUCUUUUUCACAUAUCCAAUUGACAUGGGAUGUAAUUACAAGCAAGUUGAAUAGGUUUCUUUUGGAACCAAGUAAGAUGAUUAGCUAGUUGAGACACCUGAGGGUCCAGCCCUGUGGACAGAGAUGUGAAUAUUUAUAAUGUAUUCAUGAUUCCCAAAGAGAUUAUAAUUUUAGAAAGAAAGCUGUCAAGAAGAGCCUUUAGGACAAAGAAGUCAGUCAUGGCAAUGAUCACUAUUUGUCCUUUUAGACAUAUUUUUCACCAUGAAAGAGGUUCAUAUAAUCUUUCCAUAGCAUUUAACCUGUACAUUGUGUGACCGUCACAACAGAGCCGACAGUUAUUAUGUACAUGAAUUAAAUCUUUCUCGUCUCCGAUUUAACCUUCACCAUACUGCCAGUUAUUUUUCCUAAAUGACACAUUUGAUCAUGUCAUAUUCCUGCUUAAAAGCCUUCAGUGGCUCCCAUCUGGUUGCAGAACAAAUACUACAUUUCUUAGCAUCGCAUAUAAAGAUGUUAGCAGUCUGGCUCUCCAAUCUGUUCCUUUAACCUCAUCACCAGCCCUCUCCCACACCCUUUCAUCCCCCUUGCUGUCGUGUCCUGUGUCACAUUCACAUCUGACAUUGCUCCCAACACUCCAAACCCUCCUUUGUCCAAUGACCUUGCAUAAAGCCAGUCCCUUCGCCUGUCAUGCCCGCAUCCCCAAUUUCUACUCCUUAAUCUCAUGUGAGUUUUUCAGGAUCCUGCCC
Molecule: long non-coding RNA, 5302 nt
Filed under: Sus scrofa (pig)
Lineage: Eukaryota; Metazoa; Chordata; Mammalia; Artiodactyla; Suidae
Description: lncRNA (ENSSSCG00015044798.1)
Source: RNAcentral